UGAGUCGGCAGGGCGGCCGCGUCGGGCAGGCAACUGUCCGCCGAGGAAGGUCCGGACUCCACAGAGCGGGGUGGUGGGUAACGCCCACCCGGGGUAACCCGCGGGACAGUGCAACAGAAAGUAGACCGCCAGCGGCCGCACCGAUUCGUCGGUGAGGUGCGGGUAAGGGUGAAAGGGUGGUGUAAGAGACCACCAGCGUCUCGGGUGACCGAGGCGGCUAGGUAAACCCCACUUGGAGCAAGACCAAGAGGACCCGUUCGCGGGUCUGCGCCGACGUUCGAGGGCUGCUCGCCCGAGUCGGCGGGUAGGUUGCUCGAGCGCAUCGGCAACGAUGCGCCUAGAUAGAUGGCCGCCGGGUGCCCGUGCACCCACAGAAUCCGGCCUACAAGCUGGCUCAUCCG
Molecule: RNase P RNA, 401 nt
Filed under: Actinomycetes bacterium
Lineage: Bacteria; Bacillati; Actinomycetota; Actinomycetes
Description: RNase P RNA component class A
Rfam family: Bacterial RNase P class A
About the family: Ribonuclease P (RNase P) is a ubiquitous endoribonuclease, found in archaea, bacteria and eukarya as well as chloroplasts and mitochondria.
Source: RNAcentral